Felis catus (domestic cat) is the source of this 85-nucleotide non-coding RNA. NCBI's taxonomy places the organism in Eukaryota, Metazoa, Chordata, Mammalia, Carnivora, Felidae. The record is from Rfam.
GCCUGGGUGGCUCAGCUGGUUAAGCGUCCAACUUCGGCUCAGGUCACGAUCUCGUGGUCUGUGAGUUCGAGUCCCGCCUCAGGCU